Long non-coding RNA from Amphiprion ocellaris (clown anemonefish), 1125 nucleotides. NCBI's taxonomy places the organism in Eukaryota, Metazoa, Chordata, Actinopteri, Pomacentridae. The record is from Ensembl.
CGGAAGCCAGCUGGACAGUGAGGGAAAGCCAGAUGUCACAGCACCGGACUGAACAGUUAAAGGAGCUGUAGAUGUACUGGCAACAGGUGCUUACUUCGGCUUGGGUGAACUCACAAACUGCAACUUAACAUUCAGGUUCUGGUGAAAAUUUUCCUCCAGCUCACAGCAGAUUUCACAGCAGAACUAAGACUACCAUCACCAAUUGCAGCUGGACAUGACAGAUUAGGACUCCAUGUGCGGGAUGAGAGACUCACUGGAAAGGCAACCGAAUGGCAACAAGGACCGCCACACCAGCAACCAGGCCAGCAUGACCUGUAGGUCAGGAAACACAAGAUGGGACCAGUCUGUGGAUGGGAAAGACUUCUGAAUUUAUGUCACAGUCCUAUAUCUGUAACAGCACAAUGGGGAACAGCUUGAACAAGCUGACAUGAAAAAGUCUACUAACAGAUGGGUGAAACAAUAGAACUUUAACGACAUGUGAUGCAUAGUCUCCUGACUUCUUCUGUGAUUUCACAAGAUGCCACUUCUCCAUUUUUCAAAGGGAAUACUCAAAAUGGUUAUAUCAGGAUGAAUCAAGACAAAGCUACGACAUGACUCCUGUAUCCAGUAUGCCACGUUCAUAGACAUGCCUGGUGUUUUGAUCUCCGCUUGUAUCAGUGUCUGAAAUAAAAGGGGGGGAUAUGUUUCAUUUUAGUGUUGCUGAGAGAUUCGACAGACAACCCUCAUUAGACCAGUUCUUUGAGUUUCAGGUCACACAAGAGUCAAAAUGCAUCAACUCUCCAUUGGUGAACAUUUUUUUUAUGCAUACUUUGUCACGUCGCAAGUUUGCAAAUGAAAUUACUCCAAAAAAUAACACUAGGUGACAGUGCAAAUAUAAAAAUGACACCCACUUGGAACAAUGUAUUUUGUGUUACACUUCCUUAAUGAUACUCUUUACAAGGCUAUAGCUCACAUUUGUGUGACACACCAAAAUACUCAUCACUAUGAGCUUCAAAGGACCUACAUCCGCAGUAGUGUCAGUCAAUAGAGCAGUGAAGAUAUGCAUGCACACCACACCUAAAAGAACGGUCACUCUACCUAUUGAUGUUUACAUUACCAAUGCCAUCUUGUCACAUUUUAAUAAAG